RNAcentral lists this ribosomal RNA (254 nucleotides) under uncultured bacterium. RNAcentral describes it as "partial 16S ribosomal RNA". It matches the Rfam family "Bacterial small subunit ribosomal RNA", at positions 524 to 776 of the family's 1533-position model. The record is from RNAcentral.
CACGUAGGCACCAAGCGUUGUCCGGAUUUAUUGGGCGUAAAGAGCUCGUAGGCGGUUUGGUAAGUCGGGUGUGAAAACUCUGGGCUCAACCCAGAGAGGCCACUCGAUACUGCUAUGACUUGAGUACGGUAGGGGAGUGGGGAAUUUCUAGUGUAGCGGUGAAAUGCGCAGAUAUUAGAAGGAACACCAGUGGCGAAGGCGCCACUCUGGGCCGUAACUGACGCUGAGGAGCGAAGGCAUGGGUAGCAAACAGG